AUCAGUUCGAUGUACUAAUGAAAGUAAGAAAUUUUCCGGGCAGUUCUCAUUACCAGGCGCUAUCGUUGAUAUCCCCUCUUUUUGAGUCCAUACGUUUACUAUCAAUACAAUGAUGCAUAACUGGAGUCAGUAUGACCUCUAGAAUUACAGGCCUGGUAAAAUGGUUUAACGAAGACAAAGGUUUUGGCUUCAUCUCUCCUCUUGAUGGCAGCAAAGAUAUCGUUGUCCAUUUUUCUGCGCUUAAUGGCGACAACUUUAAAACUUUAUUUGAAGGGCAGAAAGUUGAAUUCGCUAUUCACAGCGGUGACAAAGGUCCUGCUGCAGCAAACGUAAUACUUUGCGAUAAAUAAAUUAUUGUGGAUCUGCAAUAACGAUGAAGGAUUGUUCC
This is a non-coding RNA of Yokenella regensburgei ATCC 43003, 388 nucleotides long. The record is from Rfam. Lineage: Bacteria; Pseudomonadati; Pseudomonadota; Gammaproteobacteria; Enterobacterales; Enterobacteriaceae.